CCUACGGGAGGCAGCAGUGAGGAAUAUUGGUCAAUGGACGAGAGUCUGAACCAGCCAAGUAGCGUGAAGGAUGACUGCCCUAUGGGUUGUAAACUUCUUUUAUAAAGGAAUAAAACGAGGCACGUGUGCCUUUUUGCAUGUACGUUAUGAAUAAGGAUCGGCUAACUCCGUGCCAGCAGCCGCGGUAAUACGGAGGAUCCGAGCGUUAUCCGGAUUUAUUGGGUUUCAAGGGAGCGUAGAGGGGUUUUUAAGUCCGUUGUGAAAGUUUGCGGCUCAACCGGAAAAUUGCAAUUGAUACGGGCAGUCUUGAGUCCAGUUGAGGUCGGCGGUAUUCGUGGUGUAGCGGUGACAUGCUUCGAUAUCAC
RNAcentral lists this ribosomal RNA (365 nucleotides) under uncultured bacterium. RNAcentral describes it as "partial 16S ribosomal RNA". It matches the Rfam family "Bacterial small subunit ribosomal RNA", at positions 338 to 700 of the family's 1533-position model. The record is from RNAcentral.